This is a non-coding RNA of Phasianus colchicus (ring-necked pheasant), 444 nucleotides long. NCBI's taxonomy places the organism in Eukaryota, Metazoa, Chordata, Aves, Galliformes, Phasianidae. The record is from RefSeq and is a predicted model, not a curated record.
GAGCAGGUGGACGACGAUUCCUCAGACUCCGACGCCACCGCCUCCUCCGACAGCGAUGGGGAAACGCCCAAAGGGGCGGAGCCGCCUCCCCUUAAAAGGAAGCGCAGCCCCACAGGGGGCGGAGCCUCACCGCCGCCCGCCCCCAGCCUGGCUCCACCCACUUCCUACCUGAGCACCGUGAGUCACUGCCACCAAGAUGGCUGCCCGCGGGUGGGAGCCGCCAUCUUGGGGGUGCAGGGGGGUUGGGAGCCGCCAUCUUGGGGGGGGGCGGAGGGGAGGCGGUGGGAGGAGGAAAGGAUUUUGGGUGUGGGGGCGGCCAUUUUCUAAUGGGAGCCGCCAUCUUGGGGAUGUGGGUUCCUCCAUCUUGUGGGGGGGUGGGGGCCGCCAUCUUGGAGGAUGGCAGCCACCAUCUUGGGGGAAGGGGGCCGCCAUCUUGGGGAGUGG